AGUGAACGCUGGCGGCGUGCCUAAUACAUGCAAGUCGAACGGACAAGUAAGAGCUUGCUCUUAUGAGUUAGUGGCGCACGGGUGAGUAAUGUAUAGCUAAUCUGCCCUACACUAGAGGACAACAGUUGGAAACGACUGCUAAUACUCUAUACUCCUGUCUUACAUAAGUUAGAUAGGGAAAGUUUUUCGGUGUAGGAUGAGGCUAUAUUGUAUCAGCUAGUUGGUGAGGUAAUGGCUCACCAAGGCUAUGACGCAUAACUGGUCUGAGAGGAUGAUCAGUCACACUGGAACUGAGACACGGUCCAGACUCCUACGGGAGGCAGCAGUAGGGAAUAUUGCUCAAUGGGGGAAACCCUGAAGCAGCAACGCCGCGUGGAGGAUGACACUUUUCGGAGCGUAAACUCCUUUUGU
RNAcentral lists this ribosomal RNA (411 nucleotides) under Campylobacter concisus. RNAcentral's name for it is "bacterial SSU rRNA". It matches the Rfam family "Bacterial small subunit ribosomal RNA", at positions 29 to 439 of the family's 1533-position model. The record is from RNAcentral. Lineage: Bacteria; Pseudomonadati; Campylobacterota; Epsilonproteobacteria; Campylobacterales; Campylobacteraceae.